AGUGAACGCUGGCGGUAGGCCUAACACAUGCAAGUCGAACGGCAGCACAGUAAGAGCUUGCUCUUACGGGUGGCGAGUGGCGGACGGGUGAGGAAUACAUCGGAAUCUACUUUUUCGUGGGGGAUAACGUAGGGAAACUUACGCUAAUACCGCAUACGACCUACGGGUGAAAGCAGGGGAUCUUCGGACCUUGCGCGAUUGAAUGAGCCGAUGUCGGAUUAGCUAGUUGGCGGGGUAAAGGCUCACCAAGGCGACGAUCCGUAGCUGGUCUGGGAGGAUGAUCAGCCACACUGGAACUGAGACACGGUCCAGACUCCUACGGGAGGCAGCAGUGGGGAAUAUUGGACAAUGGGCGCAAGCCUGAUCCAGCCAUACCGCGUGGGUGAAGAAGGCCUUCGGGUUGUAAAGCCCUUUUGUUGGGAAAGAAAAGCAGCAGGUUAAUACCCCGCUGUUCUGACGGUACCCAAAGAAUAAGCACCGGCUAACUUCGUG
This 492-nucleotide ribosomal RNA is filed under the name uncultured bacterium. RNAcentral's name for it is "partial 16S ribosomal RNA". It matches the Rfam family "Bacterial small subunit ribosomal RNA", at positions 29 to 507 of the family's 1533-position model. The record is from RNAcentral.